GGGGGCAACCCCUUGAGAGUGGCGAACGGGUGAGUAAUAUAUCGGAACGUGCCCAGUCGUGGGGGAUAACGUAGUGAAAAUUACGCUAAUACCGCAUACGAUCUAAGGAUGAAAGCGGGGGAUCGCAAGACCUCGCGCGACUGGAGCGGCCGAUAUCAGAUUAGGUAGUUGGUGAGGUAAAGGCUCACCAAGCCAACGAUCUGUAGCUGGUCUGAGAGGACGACCAGCCACACUGGAACUGAGACACGGUCCAGACUCCUACGGGAGGCAGCAGUGGGGAAUUUUGGACAAUGGACGCAAGUCUGAUCCAGCCAUUCCGCGUGCAGGAUGAAGGCCCUCGGGUUGUAAACUGCUUUUGUACGGAACGAAAAGGUCUCUCCUAAUACGAGGGGCUCAUGACGGUACCGUAAGAAUAAGCACCGGCUAACUACGUGCCAGCAGCCGCGGUAAUACGUAGGGUGCAAGCGUUAAUCGGAAUUACUGGGCGUAAAGCGUGCGCAGGCGGUUAUGUAA
This 513-nucleotide ribosomal RNA is filed under the name uncultured bacterium. RNAcentral's name for it is "bacterial SSU rRNA". It matches the Rfam family "Bacterial small subunit ribosomal RNA", at positions 75 to 586 of the family's 1533-position model. The record is from RNAcentral.